CGAGGGUGCGAGCGUUAAUCGGAAUUACUGGGCGUAAAGCGCACGUAGGCGGCUUGGCAUGUCGGGUGUGAAAUCCCCGGGCUCAACCUGGGAACUGCAUCCGAAACUGCCUUGCUAGAGUAUGGGAGAGGGAAGUGGAAUUCCGGGUGUAGCGGUGAAAUGCGUAGAUAUCCGGAGGAACAUCAGUGGCGAAGGCGACUUCCUGGACUAACAUUGACGCUGAGGUGCGAAAGCGUGGGGAGCAAACCGGAUUAGAUACCCGAGUAGUCC
Molecule: ribosomal RNA, 270 nt
Filed under: uncultured archaeon
Lineage: Archaea
Description: partial 16S ribosomal RNA
Rfam family: Bacterial small subunit ribosomal RNA
Source: RNAcentral